Heterocephalus glaber (naked mole-rat) is the source of this 1427-nucleotide non-coding RNA. Lineage: Eukaryota; Metazoa; Chordata; Mammalia; Rodentia; Bathyergidae. The record is from RefSeq and is a predicted model, not a curated record.
UGGGGGUCUGAGAAGUCGGGGCCUUGCGCCCUGGCAAGCCUGCACCGUGGACCCUCGCUGCUCAGCUCCCUGGCAGCAGCCUCUCGGGGUUCUUUCGACUGCUGAGGCAGGGACAACUUCAGACUGCUCCUGGCCACCCACCUUCCUGGGGUCCAGCCAAUCCCUGGGAAGCUCAGUCACCUGCUGUGUUAGGUGAUUUUGUUUUGUUUUGUUUUGGAGACAGAAUCUGCUUUGUAGUUCAGGCCGGCCUGGAACUCACUAUGUAGCUGAGGUGAUGAUCCUCCUCCCUCAGCCUCCUGAGGGCUGAAAUUAUAGGUGGGUGCCACCACGUCCACCUGGGAGUAGUCUACUUUUAUGUUACUCUAAUAAAACACUUGAAGUAACUUUGUAAAGGAAAGAGGUGCUGAGCUCAGGAUCCUGGAGGCCGAAGUCCUAGAUCCUGCAAACUCAUUGGUGUGGUUUCCGGCCAGGGCUUGGCAGAUGGCAGGAGUGUGGUGGGAGGGAGCUCACCAAGCCAACAGGACUCCAGGGAUCAGGACUGGGGCGGCUCCCUGUCGUGGGGCUCACAGGAGACCCGGGGGACACCCUCCCUCCUUCCGAGGCCCCGCACUGCUCCAGCCCCACUGCAGGGCAAGCUUCCGAUGCACUCACUCGGGCCCCAUCCGAACCCCGACUGCUGUGACCAAGGGUGGGGCCGUAUCUCGCUCCUGCUGGGGGCAGCCCUGGACUCUCAGCUGGGACAGCAAAGCGAGGAGCCAGGCCCCUGACCGGGGCAUCCCAGCCUCUGGAGCACAGGAAGCCGGCUCCUUCCUCGGCCAAUCCCCCAGUCUCGGAACUCAGUCAGGGCACCACGGAACACACCGAGAAGCACUCAGGCGGGAGAGGGGGCGCCUCGCCAGCCUUCACCUCCGGGGGAACAUGCCUGGUCUGGGGCCCGAGAUCAGGGCAGUGCCAGCACAGCAAAAGUCCUGGCCAGGUCGCCAUCCUCAGCAGCACCUCGCUGUGGCAGUGGCCUGGGGAGCCUCAGCCUGAGUCAGUUUGGUGGCCGGGUGGGUGACCGGCUUGGUGACAGCCUUGGCCGGCUCCCCCAGGUCCAUUCCAGUCCCACUGCCAGCACAGUGAGAACCGGAAAAUGGGGUGACAAGGCCACCAGCUGAGCCGUGGCCAGAGACAGAGGCACGGGGAGGGGAGGCGACACGGUUUAUUCAAAGUGAGGAGGCGCUGGGCUGGGUGUCAACAGACGCACCCUGCACACGCGUCCUGACACACCACACACGCACACACGCAGGCCUUCAGUCUCAGUGUCAUUGGGUGGGCCGCUGGGGCAGGAUCACAAUCCGGGAGAACUCACAGAAACCGACCCGCAACACAGCCCUCUGAUCUCCGACAUCACACCUGUCCCUCGACACAACACCGGCUCUCUCCUC